GUUUGGGUGAUGACUUUAUAACAAUUUGUCGGAUACCCCUUCACUCAUGUUAUGAGUGAGAACAAAAGUCUGACAAAC
RNAcentral lists this small nucleolar RNA (78 nucleotides) under Dryobates pubescens (Downy woodpecker). RNAcentral's name for it is "Picoides pubescens (downy woodpecker) Small nucleolar RNA SNORD101". It matches the Rfam family "Small nucleolar RNA SNORD101". From Rfam's summary of the family: snoRNA U101 is a member of the C/D class of snoRNA which contain the C (UGAUGA) and D (CUGA) box motifs and guide the 2'-O-methylation of rRNA and snRNAs. The precise target of this family is unknown. The record is from Rfam by way of RNAcentral. Lineage: Eukaryota; Metazoa; Chordata; Aves; Piciformes; Picidae.